GACGAACGCUGGCGGUGUGCUUAACACAUGCAAGUCGAACGGAAAGGCCCUGCUUUUGUGGGGUGCUCGAGUGGCGAACGCGUGAGUAACACGUGAAUAACCUGCCCUUCACUUUGGGAUAACUUCAGGAAACUGGGGCUAAUACCGGAUAGGAUCUCCUCCUGCAUUGUGGGGGUUGGAAAUUUUCGGCGGGUGGGGAUGGACUCGCGGCUUAUCAGCUUGUUGGUGGGGUAGUGGCUUACCAAGGCUUUGACGGGUCGCCGGCCUGAGAGGGUGACCGGCCACAAUGGGACUGAGAUACGGCCCAGACUGCUACGGGAGGCAGCAGUGGGGAAUAUUGCACAGUGGGCGGAAGCGUGAUGCAGCAACGCCGCGGUCGGGAUGACGGCCUUCGGGUUGUAAACCGCUUUCGCCUGUGACGAAGCGUUAGUGACGGUAAUGGGUAAAGAAGCACCGGCUAACUACGUG
RNAcentral lists this ribosomal RNA (468 nucleotides) under uncultured bacterium. Its description in RNAcentral is "partial 16S ribosomal RNA". It matches the Rfam family "Bacterial small subunit ribosomal RNA", at positions 28 to 507 of the family's 1533-position model. The record is from RNAcentral.